RNAcentral lists this long non-coding RNA (1071 nucleotides) under Gadus morhua (Atlantic cod). Its description in RNAcentral is "lncRNA (ENSGMOG00000029201.1)". Lineage: Eukaryota; Metazoa; Chordata; Actinopteri; Gadiformes; Gadidae. The record is from RNAcentral.
UGCAGUUCAUAAGACAAAACUACUUCACUGUACUUUAACUGUAAUUUGUGAAACUCUCCUCAGAAAGCCCCUACUGCAGCUGUACCAUCUUCGUCCUUGUCUGGUCCCGUCCCAUCUGAAACAGUGGUUCCUCCGUCGGCGUCAGUGGUUCCUCCGUCAGCGUCAGCGUCUGCUUCAGUGGCCCCUCCGACAGCAACAUCCCUGUAACCUUGGCAGGAUGAUACAUUGUUUUCAGAGGCUCUCGCCACUUUUGAAGCUGACACUGCCAUUGCCCCUCCACCAGACCCUCCACAGCAGCCACAGACAGACCCCGUUCCACCAUCGCAGGAACCUCCAUCUGGUCCUCGUAAGAGGACGUCAAAGUCUGCGGCACUGCCACAGCCACAGCCAAUAGAAGCCACUGUCAAGCAGCCUGAGGUAAUACAUGUACAAUACAGCUAAAUACUGUUUGAUAUGUUAAUGCAGCAGGAACAGCGUUACAGUCAGAGCACUCAGUGACUGGUACAUGACGGUUUUGUCUUUGUUCUUCCACCAGGUGUCAUUUGAGGGCUGGCACAAACAGUGGGAGUCCGGCCCUCAAGGUCUCCCCAGUGCUGACGUCAAGUGGCUGAAGGAGGACGCUGACAGGGGGUGUUGGGAAAAAUAACUUGCUGAGUACAUCACAUGUACAUUACAAAUAUAGCUAACUCCUACCCUAGCCUGAUGAGCACAUCACAUGGCAGACACAUUACAAUAUAGUCAACUCUUGCUCUAACCCAACGAACACAUAACACAAACAUGAUAAUAUAGUCAGGUCAAGGCCGGAGCCGAAGGCCCCAUUUCCCCAUCCAGGCAAAUGGUAGACACUCAGACAAUGCACCAGUCAUCCUCAAGAACGGGAGAGCCACAUUAAUUUAUCACACAGGAGACAUUUUGAGAGCUCUCCCCCGUUAGGAGGAACCAAGAGAUACACCUGCCCAUACCAGGGCCUGAGAGCCACAUUAAAUUAUCACGCAGGAGACACUUCGGGGGGGCACUCCCCCGUUUUAAUUUAUCACACAGGAGACACUUCGGGGGCACUCCCCCGUUAGG